GGUUUUAAUUAGUGAAGGAAGAAAAUGACCAAAGUGCCCCUAAUUAAAAUGUAGGAAAAACUUUUGCUAGUACUAUAGGUCACUUCACUACUCGUGAGGACUGGUCACAAGUCAUCACAAUGACUCGUGGUCUAGGAAAAAAGUUUAGUCCAUUAUACUGGUUUGGUCAAGAAUCCAUCAUCAAGAUUUGUAACCUCACCAUAUGACUCGUG
RNAcentral lists this long non-coding RNA (212 nucleotides) under Capsicum annuum. Its description in RNAcentral is "long non-coding RNA (CANN_LNC007211)". Lineage: Eukaryota; Viridiplantae; Streptophyta; Magnoliopsida; Solanales; Solanaceae. The record is from RNAcentral.